UCGUAACAAGGUCUCCGUUGGUGAACCAGCGGAGGGAUCAUUACCGAGUUUACAACUCCCAAACCCCUGUGAACAUACCAAUUGUUGCCUCGGCGGAUCAGCCCGCUCCCGGUAAAACGGGACGGCCCGCCAGAGGACCCCUAAACUCUGUUUCUAUAUGUAACUUCUGAGUAAAACCAUAAAUAAAUCAAAACUUUCAACAACGGAUCUCUUGGUUCUGGCAUCGAUGAAGAACGCAGCAAAAUGCGAUAAGUAAUGUGAAUUGCAGAAUUCAGUGAAUCAUCGAAUCUUUGAACGCACAUUGCGCCCGCCAGUAUUCUGGCGGGCAUGCCUGUUCGAGCGUCAUUUCAACCCUCAAGCCCAGCUUGGUGUUGGGACUCGCGAGUUAAAUCGCGUUCCCCAAAUUGAUUGGCGGUCACGUCGAGCUUCCAUAGCGUAGUAGUAAAACCCUCGUUACUGGUAAUCGUCGCGGCCACGCCGUUAAACCCCAACUUCUGAAUGUUGACCUCGGAUCAGGUAGGAAUACCCGCUGAACUUAAGCAUAUCAA
Molecule: ribosomal RNA, 548 nt
Filed under: Fusarium circinatum
Lineage: Eukaryota; Fungi; Ascomycota; Sordariomycetes; Hypocreales; Nectriaceae
Description: eukaryotic LSU rRNA
Rfam family: 5.8S ribosomal RNA (bases 192-345)
Source: RNAcentral